AUUCUAUUAUAAUACGCUUUAGUGUUAAAUAUGCUAGUCCUUUCAUGAUUAUGUGAUAGGUGGUGCAUGGCCGUUCUUAGUUCGUGGAGUGAUCUGUCUGCUUAAUUGCGUUUCACUAAGGGCCCAUAAAUUCAAGGUAUGUUAGCUAUCGUUUCUCAAUUGACCCCUUGUCUUCGAUAAGCGCGUGUCUUUUAGAGUUUAAACAUUGCGCAUGCUGUUGGGUCCUGAAAGCAACGAACGUGACCGCAACGUCUUAUUGCCUUUAUCUUGCUAUAUUUUAAUUUAAUUAAAAAUAGCUAACAGAGGCUAAUUUAAAAUUAGACGGACCGCUG
RNAcentral lists this ribosomal RNA (332 nucleotides) under Neogloboquadrina dutertrei. RNAcentral's name for it is "SSU rRNA". The record is from RNAcentral. Lineage: Eukaryota; Foraminifera; Rotaliida; Globorotaliidae.